AGUCGAGCGGGCACCUUCGGGUGUCAGCGGCGGACGGGUGAGUAACGCGUGGGAACGUGCCCUCUGGUUCGGAAUAACUCAGGGAAACUUGAGCUAAUACCGGAUACGCCCUUUUGGGGAAAGGCUUGCUGCCGGAGGAUCGGCCCGCGUCUGAUUAGCUAGUUGGUGAGGUAACGGCUCACCAAGGCGACGAUCAGUAGCUGGUCUGAGAGGAUGAUCAGCCACACUGGGACUGAGACACGGCCCAGACUCCUACGGGAGGCAGCAGUGGGGAAUAUUGGACAAUGGGCGCAAGCCUGAUCCAGCCAUGCCGCGUGAGUGAUGAAGGCCUUAGGGUUGUAAAGCUCUUUUAUCCGGGACGAUAAUGACGGUACCGGAGGAAUAAGCCCCGGCUAACUUCGUGCCAGCAGCCGCGGUAAUACGAAGGGGGCUAGCGUUGCUCGGAAUCACUGGGCGUAAAGGGCGCGUAGGCGGCGUUUUAAGUCGGGGGUGAAAGCCUGUGGCUCAACCACAGAAUGGCCUUCGAUACUGGGACGCUUGAGUAUGGUAGAGGUUGGUGGAACUGCGAGUGUAGAGGUGAAAUUCGUAGAUAUUCGCAAGAACACCGGUGGCGAAGGCGGCCAACUGGACCAUUACUGACGCUGAGGCGCGAAAGCGUGGGGAGCAAACAGGAUUAGAUACCCUGAUAGUCCACGCCGUAAACGAUGAAUGCCAGCUGUUGGGGUGCUUGCACCUCAGUAGCGCAGCUAACGCUUUGAGCAUUCCGCCUGGGGAGUACGGUCGCAAGAUUAAAACUCAAAGGAAUUGAC
RNAcentral lists this ribosomal RNA (809 nucleotides) under uncultured bacterium. RNAcentral's name for it is "bacterial SSU rRNA". It matches the Rfam family "Bacterial small subunit ribosomal RNA", at positions 60 to 914 of the family's 1533-position model. The record is from RNAcentral.